RNAcentral lists this ribosomal RNA (461 nucleotides) under uncultured bacterium. RNAcentral describes it as "partial 16S ribosomal RNA". It matches the Rfam family "Bacterial small subunit ribosomal RNA", at positions 338 to 795 of the family's 1533-position model. The record is from RNAcentral.
CCUACGGGAGGCAGCAGUGAGGAAUAUUGGUCAAUGGGCGAGAGCCUGAACCAGCCAAGUCGCGUGAAGGAUGACGGCCCUACGGGUUGUAAACUUCUUUUGUCAGGGAGCAAUUGGGUCCACGCGUGGGCUUAGCGAGAGUACCUGAAGAAAAAGCAUCGGCUAACUCCGUGCCAGCAGCCGCGGUAAUACGUAGGGUGCGAGCGUUAAUCGGAAUUACUGGGCGUAAAGGGUGUGCAGGCGGCUGAGUAAGACAGAUGUGAAAUCCCCGGGCUUAACCUGGGAACCGCAUAUGUGACUGCUUGGCUAGAGUGCGUCAGAGGGAGGUGGAAUUCCACGUGUAGCAGUGAAAUGCGUAGAUAUGUGGAAGAACACCGAUGGCGAAGGCAGCCUCCUGGGACGCAACUGACGCUCAUACACGAAAGCGUGGGGAGCAAACAGGAUUAGAUACCCCUGUAGUC